UUAUUCUCUUCCAGUGUGGAGUUACCGUCUUACUUGGCCAGUACAUUGGGGGUUAUUGGUCUACAAUACGGACGUGAUAUCUCGAAUAAAGAGCACACGUUGUUUGGAUUAUCAUUUUAGUUCUCGUAGUGAUAAAAACAUCAGCCACACUUCCUCCUGUUAUAUAACCCACAGUGCCACAGGAUGGGUAAGCAUACAUGUACUACUAUAUGAAAAGGACCUCCCCCCUCCUACCGGGGCGAAGCCGGGAAUAGCGGGAUAGAGAUAUUUCUG
Molecule: non-coding RNA, 273 nt
Organism: Paramuricea clavata
Lineage: Eukaryota; Metazoa; Cnidaria; Anthozoa; Malacalcyonacea; Plexauridae
Source: the annotation of a GenBank genome assembly